Molecule: transfer RNA, 73 nt
Filed under: Camelus dromedarius (Arabian camel)
Lineage: Eukaryota; Metazoa; Chordata; Mammalia; Artiodactyla; Camelidae
Also listed under: 1 other name
Rfam family: tRNA
About the family: Transfer RNA (tRNA) molecules are approximately 80 nucleotides in length. Their secondary structure includes four short double-helical elements and three loops (D, anti-codon, and T loops). Further hydrogen bonds mediate the characteristic L-shaped molecular structure. tRNAs have two regions of fundamental functional importance: the anti-codon, which is responsible for specific mRNA codon recognition, and the 3' end, to which the tRNAs corresponding amino acid is attached (by aminoacyl-tRNA synthetases). tRNAs cope with the degeneracy of the genetic code in two manners: having more than one tRNA (with a specific anti-codon) for a particular amino acid; and 'wobble' base-pairing, i.e. permitting non-standard base-pairing at the 3rd anti-codon position.
Source: Rfam by way of RNAcentral
GAGGGUAUAGCUCAAGUGGUGGAGCGUAUGCUUAGCAUGCAUGAGGUUCUGGGUUCAAUCCCCAGUACCUCCU